ACAAAGUGAGACCCUGUUUCAAAAAUUAAAAAUUAAAAUAACUUGUUUGUAGAAGAUUCCCAUCUCCCCAACGUUGUCCCUUCAGUUUUCAGAAUUUUUUUUUUCUUUUUUUUUUUUUUUUUAGACGAAGUCUCGCUCUGUCGCCAGGCUGGAGUGCAGUGGUGCGAUCUCGGCACACUACAACCUCUGCCUCCCAGGUUCAAGCAAUUCUCCUGCUCAGCCUCCCGAGUAGCUGGGAUUACAGGCACGUGCCACCACACCCAGCUAAUUUUU
RNAcentral lists this long non-coding RNA (273 nucleotides) under Homo sapiens (human). RNAcentral's name for it is "non-protein coding lnc-ORMDL2-2:1". The record is from RNAcentral. Lineage: Eukaryota; Metazoa; Chordata; Mammalia; Primates; Hominidae.